CGAGGUGGCAAGGCGAUUGCGUGCCAUUUGGCAUGAGGAAAGUCCGAGCACCAUAGGGCAGGAUGCCGGCUAACGGCCGGUGGAGGCGACUCCAAGGAGAGUGCAACAGAAAUAAACCGCAGGGGGAUUGAUCCAUCAGUCAUCCGUGCCACACGGAUGGAAAGUGAGAUUUCUCCCCUGUAAGGAUGGAAAGGCGAGGUAAGAGCUCACCCGCGGCUUGGCGACUUGUCCGCGCUGUAAACCCCAUCUGGUGCAAGAUACGUAUGAGGACACAUGCGGCUGCCCGUCGCGUCCUCGGUAUCGCUUGAGCCUGCGCGGCAACGCCAGGCCUGGAUAGAUGAUCGACCCUCGACAGAACUCGGCUUACUGUCACGCUCGCGGG
Molecule: RNase P RNA, 382 nt
Filed under: Clostridiales bacterium
Lineage: Bacteria; Bacillati; Bacillota; Clostridia; Eubacteriales
Description: RNase P RNA component class A
Rfam family: Bacterial RNase P class A
About the family: Ribonuclease P (RNase P) is a ubiquitous endoribonuclease, found in archaea, bacteria and eukarya as well as chloroplasts and mitochondria.
Source: RNAcentral